AUGUUCAUUUUGGCAGCACUUGUACUAAAAGUGGAACAAGACAGAAGAUUAGCAUGGCCCCUGCCCAAAGAUGAUACGUAAAUUCAUGAAGCGUUGCAUAUUUUA
Molecule: small nuclear RNA, 105 nt
Organism: Dipodomys ordii (Ord's kangaroo rat)
Lineage: Eukaryota; Metazoa; Chordata; Mammalia; Rodentia; Heteromyidae
Source: Ensembl